GGUUGAUCCUGCCAGCAAUCAUAUGCUUGUCUCAAAGAUUAAGCCAUGCAUGUCUAAGUAUAAGUGAAUAUAUGGCGAAACUGCGAAUGGCUCAUUAUAUCAGUUUUAAUCUACUUGGUUGAGUUUCUUAUCUGGAUAACUGUAGGAAUUCUAGAGCUAAUACAUGCAAAAGGCUUGGAACGGGGGAAACCCUGCGAAGAGCGUGUUUACUAGUAGAGAAAUCAGGCUGGGGCGCAAGUCCCAGUUUCACGAUGAAUCAUAGUAAGGCUUUACACGAAUCGGGGACACACGG
RNAcentral lists this ribosomal RNA (292 nucleotides) under uncultured eukaryote. RNAcentral's name for it is "partial 18S ribosomal RNA". It matches the Rfam family "Eukaryotic small subunit ribosomal RNA", at positions 6 to 286 of the family's 1831-position model. The record is from RNAcentral.